UGGUUCUGGCAUCGAUGAAGAACGCAGCGAAAUGCGAUAAGUAAUGCGAAUUGCAGAAUUCUAGUGAGUCAUCGAAUCUUUGAACGCACAUUGCGCCCUUUGGUAUUCCGAAGGGCAUGCCUGUUCGAGCGUCAUUAUCACCCCUCAAGCCCCCGUGGUUUGGUGUUGGAUGGUUGGCCUUUUCACCGGGGCCCCUCCCAAAGUUAAUGACGGCGGCCUGUCGGACCCCCGGUACACUGAGCUUCUUCAUUGAGCACGUAUCGGUAUUUUGUGGUUGGCAGCUUCCGGUCUCUGUGUUCCCGUCAUGGGACACCCUUUUUUCAAGGUUGACCUCGGAUCAGGUAGGGAUACCCGCUGA
RNAcentral lists this unclassified non-coding RNA (358 nucleotides) under uncultured fungus. RNAcentral describes it as "partial contains 5.8S ribosomal RNA and internal transcribed spacer 2". The stretch from base 1 to 134 matches the Rfam family "5.8S ribosomal RNA", at positions 22 to 154 of the family's 154-position model. Lineage: Eukaryota; Fungi. The record is from RNAcentral.